Drosophila albomicans is the source of this 553-nucleotide long non-coding RNA. RefSeq lists it as uncharacterized. The transcript has 3 exons. NCBI's taxonomy places the organism in Eukaryota, Metazoa, Arthropoda, Insecta, Diptera, Drosophilidae. The record is from RefSeq and is a predicted model, not a curated record.
UCGGGUCCAAAAUAAAACACAAUUUUUGUAUAUAAUAAUUGAAUCGGAUUAAUUUCGAAAUUCACAUAACAAAUUCGGGAAGAAGCCAAGCUCUGCAGAUUAACUUAAUUAACUUUUCGUAAAAGUUUAACAGAGAGGCCAAAAAAGUGGCACCUAUUUCAAACUCAAUUAAACACGGCAUGGCCAAGCCAUGUCCCAGUCAAUUCGACCCGUUGACUAUUUGGGAAGGGAAUCGCCCUCCGUUUCCCCAAGCGCUUGAAGUGCUCCACGUGAAAGGGGUCCUUCUAGUUGAAACCUGUGUGAAAGGAUGCGCGUGUUUGCCUGUUUCCAACUGUGAAAACCUUUUGUCUGCCCUUAAGGAUUAAGCAAAUUCAAAUGGGUCAUUUAAUAUCAAAUGGAUUUCUAAACUUGAACAACGCUUUGUGUUCUUCCGGCGCUUUUGAGAUGGACUAGUAAAGGUCUUAGCUAUUUUUAGCUCUUUUGUUUUUUAAGGAGGCACAUCGUUUUGUAAUUCAAUGAACAUGUAUAACACAUAACAAUAUAAUUUAUUGUU